ACAAAAAGCUCAUAUUUGUUGGUUUUCUAAAAUUUAUUCAUUUUAGCAUUGCAUUGUAAUGCAGAAAGAGGACAUUACUGUGCAUACCACAAUGAGCUUCCCUUUGUUUUCUGGCUUCUUCGCUAGUUCAAGAGCAGCAACUGUGUUAGCCCCUGAUGAUAUUCCUACCUGCAAGAAAAGAAAAGAAAAGCUAGAAUGAUUGACCAGAAUCAAGAUUUUGCAUUCGCCAAGAUUACAACUAUUAUGACUGCACUCCGGUUUUGGAUUGAAGAAUAGAAGACUACCUUGACAUUAGCAGGAUUCUCAAACUGCUGCAGCAUGAAUGCACUGGGAUGGUUCUCAUACAGCUCAGCUGCCUUCCUGACUGUGCCUCCCAUACCUUUUGUUGGGUCUGUAAGGACCAGCUUCGCGCCGAAGGCCCUCAUGGUCACCCUCCUCUCAAGGCUGGUGUAUGAAGGCAUUGUGAGUAUGAGUUCAUACCCUUUAAGAGCAGCCAUGAAUGCCAGGCCAAUGCCCAUGUUCCCGGAUGUCGGCUCGAUCAGUGUGGUCUGUUCAACAAGCAGUUUUGUUAUAUAUGGUUACAGGUACUAAAUCAAGGUGAAGUGUUUGAUUUUGUUGCACAACAAUGUUAAAAACUGUUUUUUGCUGAAGCACAUGCCCUUGUAUUAUCGAAGACAAGAGCAGCAGAUCACUGACCUUGCCUGGGGUGAUCAACCUCUUCCUUUCAGCGUCUUCCAACAUUGACAGUGCUGGCCUGCAUCGCACCAGAAAUAAAAAAUCAAGCUCAGUCAUUUAUCUAUAUACUCAUGUGUUGCUUAUGCACAGAGAUCAUAUUGAUAAGAUGAAGUUGCUGCUAAUGAUAAGUAAUCAAGACAGAAGAUAGCAGGUAACUAAAUCACCUGUCUUUGACGCUGAAGGAGGGCUGCAAGAACUCGAGCUUCGCAGCAACCCGAGCUCCGCACCCUUCAGUGACCUUGUUCAGGAUCAAAUCAAAAGGCAAGAAGGAAACAAAACUGAUCGAAUCACCUGCGACGCAGUGUCCCUGAUCCUGAUCCCGGGCAAGACGCCAGGCGACUGAACCGGGUCGGCGACGGCUUCUUGCUGCAGGGUGGAGAAGCAUGGUGGAGCUCGCCUGGCCCGCCUCCUCAUCAGCCUCAUCAGCCUCAUCAGCGUCCUCUCCAUUGCCGGCGCUGAGGACGGUGGCAGGCGGCGGCGAGGCAGGGUUGGUCACUGCCGGCGGUGCUGGCCUCACUUCACUUCACUUCACUGGCGAUAUGAUGAUGAUAUGGCUCUGCAGCCCCGAGGAGUUUAUUUAUCGUGUGGCCAGUGAAAUAUAAAACAGAAGCAACAAAAUUGCAUGCAUGGUGGAAAAUUGUUCCUGUCCGGCUGCUAGGGCCAAUAAUCAUGCUACGACCAACGAUCGUAUGCUUGCUGGCAGAUGAUGAGCCGUGGUUGCUUUGGUCUCACAGUGGCGGCCAUUAGAUCCUAAUUUGCCAGAAAAAUCAUGUCAUACGCUUGUAAUUAUCUCGAUCCGUUCACAAAUAAUUUAAAUCGCGUAUGCGAAUGAACCAAUCUAAAUUCUAGUACCA
Molecule: long non-coding RNA, 1589 nt
Organism: Oryza brachyantha (malo sina)
Lineage: Eukaryota; Viridiplantae; Streptophyta; Magnoliopsida; Poales; Poaceae
Exons: 5
Source: RefSeq, a predicted model, not a curated record